CAAUUAUUUUAAAUUCUGGAGCCCAAAAUCUUCUGUAAGAUGUUAUAUUGUGUAAACCAGUGUGACUACAAAACAAUUUUAUCUUUUUGUUGACAUUAUAGGUGAGCUGUUAAGCCAGCCCCGACCUGAGGGACUUACUGAGAUGAUCUGCCCCAUGAAUGGCUCGGAGCGGGUCAACGUGGCACUAGUUUACCCUCCAACCCCGACUGUGGUCAGCCCCAGUCAUAAAUGACAUUGACUGCACCUGCACUUACCUGCCUGUGAAUGGCCUCCACAAACCGCUGCACCUCUUUUCCCUACAUCUUACAUCACACAUAUACACACAAACAAGUAAACGUGUGUGUUUGUGUGUGCAAAAGCGUGCUCCCGCUUUCUUAUUGCCUCUGUCCAUCAUCCCACAUCUGAGGGGGUCGAUGGACAACUGGAUACCCGACAAGUGCAAAGAAGGUUCAUAAUGGAAGCUUGCCAUUGGGAGGCCAUCAUAUCAGGACAUACAUGCAGGUGUUCAGCUCCGACUGCCAACACAUGAACUGAAAGUAUUAGAAACUGUUGCACUGACAUCCUGUUUUUGUCUAUGUACACCUAAAGUUUUUUCAGUCACCCUGAGCCUUCCUCAACAUUUUAAGCCUUUCAGUUCAACAAGAGAUCAACUGUUCCUCUGCAAGUUCUUGGAAGUUCCCAUUUGUUGCAUCUCUUGGAUUGAAACUACAUCUUGUGCUGCUGGGUGCCAAGUGGUUAAGCUGACAGAAAAUGGAAGUGGAAGGACACUGUUUCCCCUCAGACAUAAGACAGACUUUGAUUAGUGAGGUCAGAUGUUAGAUUGAUGCUUUAAGUGAUAUUGUACUUUAAAUGCAUGCCUCUAAAAUUCAAAAAGGAUUACAAAAUGACAUACAUGGAUAAAUGCACUAGCUCAGGCCUCUUAAGAGGUUUAGUCGUAUCAAAAAUGAAAGGACAGAAUUGUUGGGCAUAAAUCUUUUAGAUCCAUUUAUUGCUUUCCUGCUCACAGACAGACACAUUGUGUUAGUUUUGAAUAGAUAUAAUCAGACAUUUCAAAUAAUUUUAGUGAAACGUGCAGCCAAAGAUAUAAAAAUGUUUCGCUGAACCACUGACACAAGCUUCUAUCUAUCUAUCUAUCUAUCUGUGUCUGUCGUUCAUUCUAUCCAUCUAUCUACCUAUGUUUUUUUCAUUCUUUCAGUCUGCAUAUUUUUAUACCCACACGUGUGCUUAUACAGAUAAUCAUACUCCAUAGCAUGAGGGAUAUUAUUUUAAGCACAUAAAUUCAAAUAGCAGUUAUAGUAUAAUAUCAGUUAUAUUAUCAGUGACAGAUUGUCACAUUGUUUCUUGCACAUGUUCAAACUUUCCUAUAAGAUGCAGUUUUGGAUACAUACGAGCAGGAAUAUUGAUGUACAGUCACAGAUGUACAGAAAUGGUACAAGUACAAUAAUUCAGCCAAGGAUGUUUUUACUCUUGAGGUAGAUUGUGUAAGCAUAUCUGCUUAACUCUAAGGUUAUUUGAGAUAUAUAUAUAUAUAUAUAUAUAUAUAUAUAUAUAUAUAUAUAUAUAUAUAUAUAGUUCACUGAACAUGCUCUUCAAAAGCAGUGUCUGAAUCAUAUUGUACAUAUUUGUCUAAAAAGUGCACAUUAGAACAAAAGAAGCAAGACUUGUUUUAUAAGAACUGAUUCAUACUUAGAAACUGUUGUGCAUUGUUUCAGUGUUUCUUUUUGGAGAGGAGAGAAUCUGCAAUAUGUGUAAUGUUUUGUAAACAGUUGAAAAAAGUUUGUACAUAUUUUAUUUUUUUAAGCUAACAAGCUGUCACCAGUAUCCCACAUUAUUUACUGUGCAUUGUGCAAGGCUACUGUGCUCAAUGUAAAAUUCACAAACUGUUUUCUAAGUUAUAAUGAAAUUAUUCUUUCUCAUUGUACGACCACAAAAACCACCAAAUAUAAAGACUGGUUUCCAUGUUGUUGUAC
Molecule: long non-coding RNA, 1970 nt
Organism: Sinocyclocheilus grahami
Lineage: Eukaryota; Metazoa; Chordata; Actinopteri; Cypriniformes; Cyprinidae
Source: Ensembl